Molecule: long non-coding RNA, 4626 nt
Filed under: Pelobates cultripes (western spadefoot toad)
Lineage: Eukaryota; Metazoa; Chordata; Amphibia; Anura; Pelobatidae
Source: RNAcentral
CACUAAUGGUGAAUGAUAGCAGGGCAGGACUAACGCCAUUGGCUUAUAAAGUGUGGGUGUGCAUGAAUUGGAAGCAUCAAUGCAAACAUGAGCACUAUUCAGUCUAUCGCUGAGAACUACCAAUCCUUCAAUCCCAGAGCAUACCUGCAGAAUAAUUACAUACCACCAAGGGCAGACUUCGACAACCCAGGCAGCGUGGUGCCGUGGAAGCUGAGAUGCCUGGCCGACGCGUGUGCCUCAGGUACGUCAAUUUUUAAUCUACUCCGGUCACCUAAUUCUUGACAGCCUCUCCGGGAUGCACCGGAUCAAAUUCAAGAUAAAAAUGGUCAAUGCGCUAAACACUGAAUUGAAAACCAAAUUGCACAAUUUUAGACCAAAAGAGACGAGUUGGAAAAAUUCUGCAAUUCAACGGGUUGUGUGUGUGUGUGUUUUUUUUUUACUAAAGCGGGGGUAGGCAACGCUCGGCACCCCACUUGUUGUGGACUACAUCUCCCCUGAUGCUUUGCUAGCCUUAUGGGUGAUGUAGUCCACAAUAUCCGGAGUGCCAAAGCUUGCCUACUGCUGCAUUGCAAUUUGGUGUAUAGUGGAUACCCUCUCUCCUAAACUACGGUUGUCCUAUAAAAUUUUACAUAGCAAAAAUACGCAGGGGUGUGCCUUUAAUUAGAUUUACUCAAAGUAAACAUUUUAAUCGUGUGUGCGUCCCUGUGCUGGAAGACCUGUUGUAAUACAGGGUGUAGUAUACGAAGCUAUAGAUCUGUAAUUUUAAAUCUAUUCUGUGUGUAAUUAUUUUUACAUUCCAAUUGUUUUGUGGUUUGUGUGGGUGUUUUUUACGGUUUUUAGUACAGAAAUCAAUAUGCAAAUAGGGGUUAUUAACUAUAUGCUUUUUAUCAGUUUAGGUUUUUUUGCGUGUCUGUUUUUACUUGCUAGCUAAAUCAUUGUUAAGUGGAUAGAGCACAUUAGGGAAAAAAAAGUAGAUUUUUAAAUCAAGGUUUUUAUAUGAGAAUGGGAGCUCUUAACUGCUUUCACAAAAGAGCGAUUAUGUGGGAACUGUAUAAAAUUCAUACAUUGCAGUUAGGUCGAAGAUAAAAAUGAAUUUUGGGCAGGAUAGAGCUGGGUAGCUCAAGCAGAUAUUUGCCAGAUGUACCACAUUUAAUUGGCUGGUAUGGCCACUAGUUGGUUUGAAGUGGGAAAAUCAGAGUUUAACAAAAGUGGAAUGCGGCAAGGGGGGGGGGGGAUGCAGUGUAGGAUCAUGGGUAUCUGAUGGACGCUGUUGUCAAACUGUUCCAAACUGGUUUGACUCUUCAACGGAGGAAGACGCAAAGGGACUCCAGGCACCAUAACCACUACCGCACACUGUAGUUUUUAUGGUGCUUAGAUUGUCCCUUUUUUUUUAAGGAUGUGUACUGUCAUAUAAUGAAAAAUAAAACCAUACACAAUUAAAUUCAUAAUUUUUGCAAGUUAAAUCUGAAUGGAAAAACUGAGGCAACAAAAAUGCUGAUCUGAGAAAAUUCUCAAACUCUACCAUAGUCACAACUUGGCUAUUUUGCAUCAGUUUUACCUUCUAUAUCUUUUGGGGCAAACUGUUUUCUGGCACUGCAGGUCCCCACCCCAGGUGAUUGUGAUCAAACUUAUACUACAGAUUUACAGCCAAGAACCGCAAAUUUGGCUGUUAAAGGACCACUAUAGGCACCCAGACCUGUUUGUGUUUGUGUGUUUUUUUUUGUUUUUUUUAAUUUUUUUAUUCCAGAGAAUUUGGAGUUUAGCGAAUAACCCUUUGAGAGCUUCCUACUCAGGGCAGUAACUGACAUGACUUUUUUGACAGUCUGAAUUCUAACUUAAUCCUCAAUCUCAUAGAGCUGAGAAAUCCAAGAUGGCUGCCCCUGGGGCCAUUAUUAGAGGCCAAUAAUAAUUUUUGCUCCACUUUGAUACAGUUAUGUGAUGUUCUGUUAUCCUGAAAUAUCAAAUAAGCUCUAAGAGAUGUAACUGGUCACCAAUGCUAUCUUGGUCUAAAAUGUAAAAUCCACUUUGAAUUCUUAUUUUGGUAAAUAGCUCUGCACAUAUCUGUUGAAAACAGCUAAGGUCUAAUCUACUUUAAAAUUUGAUAUCAACCCAUCUCUGUGCGUCUUUGUCUGCAGGUGAGAUUGGAGGGCAGCUUAUGGUAGACAUUGGCACAGGGCCCACGGUGUACCAGCUACUUAGCGCGUUUGAGCUGUUUAAAGAAGUGGUUCUGACUGAUUAUUUGGAAGUGAAUCGGGACGAGAUUAGGAAGUGGCUACGCGGUGAGACAGGAACGUUUGAUUGGGGCCCUUACAUCAAGCAUGUCUGCAAUAUAGAAGGAAAGGGGUAAGUUGAUCCAUUGGUGGUAGAUUAGGUCUGAGUGUCAAAUCAGCUUCAAUUGCCUGGGAGUAAAUGGAAAAAUUAUUUUAGUACAAAACUGGCACCGGGAAAGUAAAACUGUUGCUUCUUACUUUUACAAAAUAACAAGCAAAUUUCUUAGUUUUAAGGCAAGAUAGUGGUACAUGCAUCUCCGAUCUACAAUGUAUUGGGUUGCCAGAUUCUUGACCUUGAACUGUUGUAUGUGGUGAUGGGAAGCAGCCAAAAAGUGUUUUCCUAUCAUGUUAAAGGGAAGGAGAAAAAUUAAGUAAUCAAAGAGAAAUAUCAAAGCAACUAAUUAAUAAAAGCUGCAGCAUGUAAAUGCCCCAGACUCUCCACCUCUUCCUGGACACAUCUCUAUAUGUAAAAAGAUGCCCAGUGGCAUACUUAGGGAGGCAGUCUAGAAGACAUCAGUGGAAGGGCCCCUGUGACUCUGAGGGCCUCCACAAACUAGUGCACCCCUCUGUACAGUUACCAGUUGUAAGUAGGAACAGAAUGCAGGUCAGAGCCUGGUAAAUGUUGUCUGAGCAGACAGGGGAAGGAUAAUGAAUUAAUGUCAUAUUCAGCCUCUCUAUUCGCUCACAUAGCAUGCAGCACACCUGGAUGUUUAAUGAGUAACCCUGCUAAGGUGCAUACGUGGCCUCUGAUGCCAUUCAACCACAUUACAAGAGUCCACAUAGGUGAAAAGGGGUUGGAAAGACACAAAAGCGGAUCAGGACGUGGAGAGAGACUCAAAUGGAUCAUUUCCUUUACAGACUUAAAGACCCACGUAGGGGAAGUGGUGAGAGAGGUACUUGUAGAAGGGAGACACAAGUUGGGAGGUAUGCAGGUGAGAUCCGUACAGGAAUGGUGGGGAUAGGGCUGGUGCCACUAACUGCCCCCAAUUAAAAGGGCAAUGCAUUGAAAAUAUAUCAAAAUGAACUUGGUGGAGGGCAGCAGGUGGUGAAGACCAUAAUAACCCUUUCCUCGCAGGUGAUACACUCAUACACCAUGUAUUACUAUGUUUUAAUGCCAAGGAGGUCAUGGUAAAUUAGUAUAUGCAUCCUUACUGAGGUGAGAGGGGUGCAACAAAAUGUCUUUGUUGCUAUUCUUUUUGCCCUCCCCUCCCAACCCACAUGUACAUUUUUGCUCCAAUACUGUAGUUUAAAUCCCAGCAUGGGUUUAUUGGAGUAGUACAAACUGUAACCCCCUAGCUGUGCCUAUAUUUCAGCUGGUAUGGGAUAAUUCAGCAGCACUGUGUAGGCAGUUAAAUAAACAUUCAAAUUGGCUGAGUUCAUUCCUGGUUGCAAAAACGGAAUGUGAUGUUAAAUCUGCACAGACUGCAGAUUUGCAACCCGUACAGGAAAUACAAAUGAGGUGUUUGGGUUUUUUUUUUUUGUUUUGUUUAAUAGUUCAUCACUGUUUUUAUGUAAAAUACUUUGUUUUUAAAAAACACUUUAAUAGCAGUAAGAUGUACCCUUCUUAAUUUGCUGUAUCUAAAGGCUUCUACUUUCUAUCUAUUCUACCUUCUCAGAGAACCAUGGGAAGAGAAACAGAACCGUCUCAGAGCUCGGGUAUCCAAAGUUAUCCCAGUGGACGUCCACCAACUCUGUCCGUUGGGUAAAGAGUUGGGUCCUGGCUCAAUUGAUACCUUGGUUUCUUCAUUCUGCUUGGAGGCCUGCAGUCCAGACUAUGAGGCAUUUAAAAAGGCCCUUGGGAAUAUUACAGGACUACUUAAGCCUGGGGGUCACUUUCUGAUGAUUGGGGCUUUAGAAGAGUCAUUCUACAUGGCAGGAGAGGCAAAACUCGGUGUAGUGAGUCUCACAGAAGAAAUGACAAAAAAAGCACUUUGUGAUGCGGGCUAUAAAAUCAGGGAUUUCCGUGCCUAUGUUAUGCCUCAAAGCAUGAGAACCGAUGUGGAUGAUACCAAAGGAAUUUUCUUUGCUUGGGCCCAGAAGAAGGAGACAAAAUGAGGACAUAUCUAUCCGGCAUGAAGUAAAAUCACUUUCUAACCAAAAGGGUUAUUCAUGAAAGGGAAAAGUGCUGGGAAUUUCAAAGCGAAUUAUAAAAUUUAAGGAAAAAAUACGUGAAUUAGAAAAAGUAAAUUCUGUUUUCAGUUUGGCUAAUUUGGCCUUAAAUUUAAAAUUCAAUGUAUUGCUUUAUUGAAUAACCCUGCAAGACAUAUUCUGCUGUCGCACACCAUUUCCAGUGCAAAGUAUAUCUCUGAUGUGUAAUCUUUAAAUAUUAAUAUAAUAAAGCGAAUUCACUGCUGCA